This 1473-nucleotide ribosomal RNA is filed under the name metagenome. RNAcentral's name for it is "bacterial SSU rRNA". It matches the Rfam family "Bacterial small subunit ribosomal RNA". The record is from RNAcentral.
AGAGUUUGAUCCUGGCUCAGGAUUAACGCUGGCGGCAUGCCUAAUACAUGCAAGUCGAACGAACCAAUUUAUUGGUUAGUGGCGAACGGGUGAGUAACGCGUAAGAAAUCUACCUACAAGACGAGGGUAACUGUUGGAAACGACAGCUAAUACUGGAUAGGAUAUUAGAACGCAUGUUUUAAUAUUUAAAGGUCGAGAACCACUUGUAGAGGAUCUUGCGUCGCAUUAGCUAGUUGGUAAGGUAACGGCUUACCAAGGUGACGAUGCGUAGCCGGGCUGAGAGGCUGAACGGCCACACUGGGACUGAGACACGGCCCAGACUCCUACGGGAGGCAGCAGUAGGGAAUUUUCGGCAAUGGGGGAAACCCUGACCGAGCAAUGCCGCGUGAAUGAUGACGACCUUCGGGUUGUAAAGUUCUGUUGUAUGGGAAGAAAACCUUGGAGAGAAUCCAAGACUGACGGUACCAUACCAGAAAGCUCCGGCUAACUACGUGCCAGCAGCCGCGGUAAUACGUAGGGAGCGAGCGUUAUCCGGAUUUAUUGGGCGUAAAGGGUUCGCAGGCGGUUUUAUAAGUCUGAGGUUAAAGUGCGGGACUCAAUCCCGUGAUGCCUUGGAAACUGUAAGGCUUGAAUACAGCAGAGGCAAGUGGAAUUCCAAGUGUAGCGGUGGAAUGCGUUGAUAUUUGGAGGAACACCAGUGGCGAAGGCGGCUUGCUGGGCUGUGAUUGACGCUGAGGAACGAGAGCGUGGGGAGCAAACAGGAUUAGAUACCCUGGUAGUCCACGCCGUAAACGAUGAGUGCUAAGUGUUGGCAAUAGUCAGUGCUGAAGUUAACGCAUUAAGCACUCCGCCUGGGGAGUACGGUCGCAAGACUGAAACUCAAAGGAAUUGACGGGACCCCGCACAAGCGGUGGAGCAUGUGGUUUAACUCGACAAUACGCGAAGAACCUUACCUGGUCUUGACAUCUUGCAGACCUCCAUAGAGAUAUGGAUUUCCUUCGGGACUGCAAUGACAGGUGGUGCAUGGUUGUCGUCAGCUCGUGUCGUGAGAUGUUGGGUUAAGUCCCGCAACGAGCGCAACCCCUAUUGUUAGUUACCAGCAUUAAGUUGGGGACUCUAGCAAGACUGCCGGUGAUAAACCGGAGGAAUGUGGGGACGACGUCAAAUCAUCAUGCCCCUUAUGACCAGGGCUACACACGUGCUACAAUGGCUGUUACAAAGGGAUGCGAAGUCGCAAGAUGGAGCUAAACUCAUAAAAACAGUCUCAGUUCGGAUUGAAGUCUGCAACUCGACUUCAUGAAGUUGGAAUCGCUAGUAAUCGCGAAUCAGAAUGUCGCGGUGAAUACGUUCUCGGGGUUUGUACACACCGCCCGUCACGCCACGAAAGUUUGUAACACCCGAAGCCGGUGGCUUAACUACGGAUGGAGCCGUCUAAGGUGGGACAAAUAAUUGGGGCGAAGUCGUAACAAGGUA